UACGUAGGGUGCGAGCGUUGUCCGGAAUUAUUGGGCGUAAAGAGCUCGUAGGCGGCUUGUCGCGUCGACCGUGAAAACUUGGGGCUCAACCCCAAGCCUGCGGUCGAUACGGGCAGGCUCGAGUUCGGUAGGGGAGACUGGAAUUCCUGGUGUAGCGGUGAAAUGCGCAGAUAUCAGGAGGAACACCGAUGGCGAAGGCAGGUCUCUGGGGCGAUACUGACGCUGAGGAGCGAAAGCGUGGGGAGCGAACAGG
This 253-nucleotide ribosomal RNA is filed under the name uncultured bacterium. Its description in RNAcentral is "partial 16S ribosomal RNA". It matches the Rfam family "Bacterial small subunit ribosomal RNA", at positions 524 to 776 of the family's 1533-position model. The record is from RNAcentral.